GACGAACGCUGGCGGCGUGCCUAACACAUGCAAGUCGAGCGAGGUCCAACCAGUGGCAACACUGGGGACGACCUAGCGGCGAACGGGUGAGUAACACGUGAGAAACUUGCCCCGGAGUUCGGGAUAACCCGAGGAAACUCGAGCUAGUACCGAAUGCCCUCUUCUGAUCGCAUGGUCGGAUGAGGAAAGAUUUAUCGCUCCGGGAGAGUCUCGCGGCCUAUCAGCUAGUUGGUGGGGUAACGGCCCACCAAGGCAUCGACGGGUAGCUGGUCUGAGAGGACGAUCAGCCACACUGGGACUGAGACACGGCCCAG
Molecule: ribosomal RNA, 314 nt
Filed under: uncultured bacterium
Lineage: Bacteria
Description: bacterial SSU rRNA
Rfam family: Bacterial small subunit ribosomal RNA
Source: RNAcentral